CCCUCCCUCCCACCGGGUCCUUGACCUGGAUUUCUCAGCCUGCAGCUGCUUUGUGCUCCCUGCCUGGCGCCCUGUGCACAGCUUCUGGGUUUGCUGGAUGCUGUGGUUUCUGGGCCAGCCUUCUUCCCGGCUGGGCUCAGGCUCUCAGAGGGCAGCACUUUGCGUCACCCCCUCCAUGCUGCAUCAUGGUACCUGGCAGAGGGCCCAGCACACACGGCCUCUUGCUGUGCUGACCAGGCUGGCUAGGUGUGGCCAACUCUUCUGUGGCUUAAGUAACUGACUUCCGUUCCCACCAGAGCUGGUCUGGGCUCCUGCUGGCAAGAGUCGGAGAUCCCGUUUCACAGACGAGGACUCUGCGGUCCGGGGCUGCGCUCCCACCGGCCACCCCGCCUGGCCCACCUCCACUCAUCCUUCUCUCCGGAGGCCUGAGGCACUCUGACCCCGGGGACGCUGUGGGGGGGGCUCGCCUUGA
Bubalus bubalis (water buffalo) is the source of this 472-nucleotide long non-coding RNA. RefSeq lists it as uncharacterized. The transcript has 3 exons. The record is from RefSeq and is a predicted model, not a curated record. Lineage: Eukaryota; Metazoa; Chordata; Mammalia; Artiodactyla; Bovidae.